RNAcentral lists this ribosomal RNA (622 nucleotides) under uncultured archaeon. RNAcentral's name for it is "bacterial SSU rRNA". It matches the Rfam family "Archaeal small subunit ribosomal RNA", at positions 102 to 722 of the family's 1478-position model. The record is from RNAcentral.
GGAUAACUUACCCUUAGGACUGGGAUAACUCUGGGAAACUGGGGAUAAUACUGGAUAUUAGGCUAUGCCUGGAAUGGUUUGCCUUUGAAAUGUUUUUUUUCGCCUAAGGAUAGGUCUGCGGCUGAUUAGGUCGUUGGUGGGGUAAUGGCCCACCAAGCCGAUGAUCGGUACGGGUUGUGAGAGCAAGGGCCCGGAGAUGGAACCUGAGACAAGGUUCCAGACCCUACGGGGUGCAGCAGGCGCGAAACCUCCGCAAUGUACGAAAGUGCGACGGGGGGAUCCCAAGUGUUAUGCUUUUUUGUAUGACUUUUCAUUAGUGUAAAAAGCUUUUAGAAUAAGAGCUGGGCAAGACCGGUGCCAGCCGCCGCGGUAACACCGGCAGCUCGAGUGGUAGCUGUUUUUAUUGGGCCUAAAGCGUUCGUAGCCGGUUUGAUAAGUCUUUGGUGAAAGCUUGUAGCUUAACUAUAAGAAUUGCUGGAGAUACUAUUAGACUUGAAGUCGGGAGAGGUUAGAGGUACUACCGGGGUAGGGGUGAAAUCCUAUAAUCCUGGGAGGACCACCUGUGGCGAAGGCGUCUAACUGGAACGAUCUUGACGGUGAGUAACGAAAGCCAGGGGCGCGA